GUAUCGCCCCCUCAUCCAGUAUCGGGACCCAUGCAGGGUUUAACGUGGCGGGGAGCAAACAAAAAACUCUGAAGUAACUGCAGCCUUGCUUAACUGUGAGAUGAACCAAAAGAGGAAAGCUGUUGUUGAAAGUCCAUUGAAGGCCAUUCCUUCCUGAAUAACCUAACAUUGGACCGCCUGACGGUGCAAUCUCACUGAAGUGCCACGUCCCAGGGCUUGCUAGUUUGCUUUUGUAUAAUGUCCUAUUAACACCCAGGGUCAUUUAAGGAUGUGCCAGGUUUUGGAGAUGGAGGAAAGCCGGAGUACCCGGAGAAUAACCACCGGCCUACGGUCAGUACCUGGCAACUGCCCCACGUAGGUUUCGAACUCGCAACCCAGAUGUGGAGGGCUAGUGAUAAAGUGUCGGGGCACCUUAACCACUUGGCCUCACAUCUCGUCACGCCAGUACCAUCAGCAUUGCCUACAGUAACAUCAUUUCCAUGCUGCCAUUAUGUAUACAGUUGUCUCCUUUAGAUUAAGGUACCUACUUAUAAUUUCAGUUAUCCACAUUCCAGGACUCAAUCACUCCUUGAUCGGCAUCGGCCAUGUUGACGGAGGUGUAAACUUAUAUUCUGACACUAGAAUAAGUCAGCCAGUUAAAAUUCCGUGUACAUCGCUUUCUUCUGUAAGAUAACUUCAUGCCUCAUUUAACGACUGGGAUAUCAUGGCGGGGAAUGAACCCGUAGUCUUCUAAAUUUCACAAUGGUGAAUGUUCAACAAGGCCUAAAGCCCUAAAAGUCAGUGGCCGAAAGACAUUCGACAGAAAAUAGAUUUCAGAGAGCUGAAGAUCUCAAAUCUAGUCACCUCUUACUAUCUAUCAUGUAAGUUGGGUAAUAGGCACAAUUCUAACGCCCUACCUGCAAGGGAGAUUGGUUGCAAUGAAACUACCAAUAAUGAACACAACACAAAUGCAUACUUAAUCGCAUGCUGUUAAACAAAACAAUAAAAAAGUCUAGGUUCGUAAAAAUAGUCUUUAUUUCGUAAGGUGUUAAUACUUACAUUUAAAAAUUCUCCUUUAAAUAAAUAAUACAAAACAAUAGACUGAAAUACUCUAACCUUCAAGUCUACUGCCCAUAUCUACAUAAUUAAAAUUUCAUAUUCGAAACUGUCCCUAAAAUAAAGGUUAUUUAGAGUUGGAACUGCUCAUGUUUGAUGGAGGAGCGUCUCAAUGUUUACGGAGUUCAUUGCCCCUUGGUGUAAAAGUUUGACUCAUUUAUAAUUAUCUGUUACUAACUUUCCAAAUGAAUUAACGCCAAGACUACCAGAAUGUCUUCGAUAUCAUUUGUGUAUUUAUUCAGGUUAUCGUUAAUAUAUUUCCAUAGAGACAGAGUUUUAUUAUUGUUUAGCCUCUAAACUACCACUGGCGGUGUUCUUACAGGAUAGACAGCUGUUGUAUGUGACCAAUAUAUAUUUAAUGACAGGUAUUUGUUCUUUCAUUGUGAGGCCUUUAUUUCGAUAUCAAUAUUUAAGUAUUCAAAUGUUUCAAAUAUCUGAUAAAAGUAAUUAAAAGAAACUUCUCAAUAUAGACAACAAAUAUAGAUUAACAAUAAAAAAAAACCAUCAGCAUC
Molecule: long non-coding RNA, 1607 nt
Organism: Pecten maximus
Lineage: Eukaryota; Metazoa; Mollusca; Bivalvia; Pectinida; Pectinidae
Exons: 2
Source: RefSeq, a predicted model, not a curated record